Molecule: non-coding RNA, 23 nt
Filed under: Arabidopsis thaliana (thale cress)
Lineage: Eukaryota; Viridiplantae; Streptophyta; Magnoliopsida; Brassicales; Brassicaceae
Source: RNAcentral
ACAACCGGUGCUUCUUCUCCCCC